This is a non-coding RNA of Marmota monax (woodchuck), 339 nucleotides long. Lineage: Eukaryota; Metazoa; Chordata; Mammalia; Rodentia; Sciuridae. The record is from the annotation of a RefSeq genome assembly.
CACAGGAGCCCAGCCCUGGACUCCCAGCUCAGCCCACUCAGUGACCAGGACUGAACACAGCUGCUCACCAUGGAGAGUGUGCUCAGCUGGGUUUUCCUGGUGGCUGUUUUCAAAGGUGUCCAGUGUGAGGUGCAGCUGGUGGAGUCCGGGGGAGGCCUGGUGCAACCUGGGGGUUCCCUGCGACUCUCCUGUGCAGCCUCUGGAUUCACCUUCAGUGAUUACUGGAUGAACUGGGUCCACCAGGCUCCGGGGAAGGGGCUGGAGUGGGUUGGCCAAAUUAACCAAAAUGGUGGUAGCACCUACUACCCAGACUCUGUGAAGGGCUGAUUCACCAUUUCC